CGAUCCCGUAGGUGAAGAAGCCGGAGGUGGAGGUCAUGUCUGUCUCCCUGCCUGUUAGUAUACAUCACCUCCGAGGUGCUUCUCUCCUUGCUAUGAUACUGGUAACACUUCCUCUGUUGCGUUGCUGUUUUGAUGGGCCCCAGCAUUUAAUAACAUUGACCUGGUCAUCACGCCACUGCUUCGCCACCAUGUCACCACUCUCCAACUGACUGGCCAGGGCUGCCCUGCAGAGACUGCUCCCUAAUGAAGUCAUUUCUCCAAUCCCAUCUGACCCGCCCUUUCCUUCCUUUCCCAACCUACCUUCCCUUUUCAUAAUUUGGUCAGUUAUACUUGGAUGUGUAGGUUGCUAAUCUUGCCAAUGAAAAAAUCAUUAAAGUAGUUGGCAAUAUCAGUGGGUUUUGUAAUGAAUGAGCCAUCUGAUUCAAUUAAUGAUGAGGCCGAGUUUGCCUUUUUGCCCAAAAUGUGUGAUGUUCGGGUUUGUGGGACCCAUAUUCAAUGAUACAAUAAAUUAU
Molecule: non-coding RNA, 512 nt
Organism: Oncorhynchus mykiss (rainbow trout)
Lineage: Eukaryota; Metazoa; Chordata; Actinopteri; Salmoniformes; Salmonidae
Source: RefSeq, a predicted model, not a curated record